RNAcentral lists this ribosomal RNA (253 nucleotides) under uncultured bacterium. Its description in RNAcentral is "partial 16S ribosomal RNA". It matches the Rfam family "Bacterial small subunit ribosomal RNA", at positions 524 to 776 of the family's 1533-position model. The record is from RNAcentral.
UACGGGGGGGGCAAGCGUUGUUCGGAAUUACUGGGCGUAAAGGGCUUGUAGGCGGCCAACUAAGUCCGACGUGAAAUCCCAAGGCUUAACCUUGGAACUGCGUCGGAUACUGGAUGGCUUGAAUUCGGGAGAGGGAUGCAGAAUUCCAGGUGUAGCGGUGAAAUGCGUAGAUAUCUGGAGGAAUACCGGUGGCGAAGGCGGCAUCCUGGACCGACAUUGACGCUGAAAAUCGAAAGCUAGGGGAGCAAACGGG